Molecule: ribosomal RNA, 253 nt
Filed under: uncultured bacterium
Lineage: Bacteria
Description: partial 16S ribosomal RNA
Rfam family: Bacterial small subunit ribosomal RNA
Source: RNAcentral
UACAGGGGGGGCAAGCGUUGUUCGGAAUUACUGGGCGUAAAGGGUUCGUAGGUGGCCAACUAAGUCAGACGUGAAAUCCCUCAGCUUAACUGGGGAACUGCGUCUGAUACUGGAUGGCUUGAGUGUAGGAGAGGAAUGCGGAAUUCCAGGUGUAGCGGUGAAAUGCGCAGAUAUCAGGAGGAACACCGGUGGCGAAGGCGGGUCUCUGGGCCGAUACUGACGCUGAGGAGCGAAAGCGUGGGGAGCGAACAGG